RNAcentral lists this unclassified non-coding RNA (1536 nucleotides) under Hevea brasiliensis (rubber tree). The record is from RNAcentral. Lineage: Eukaryota; Viridiplantae; Streptophyta; Magnoliopsida; Malpighiales; Euphorbiaceae.
UAUGUCUCUGCUCUUCUACAUGUGGUUAGACAUUGUUCAGUUUGUAUUAAACAUGCCAGAUUAACCAGCCAGAUGGAUGCUCUGGAGAUUCCAUAUGUUGAAGAGGUUGGACUGAGAAAUGCAUCCUCAAAUAUAUGGUUCCGACUUCCAUUUGCCCGAGGCGAUUCAUGCCAGCACAUUUGCUUGCGGCUUGGUAGACCAGGAAGCAUGUAUUGGGAUGUCAAAAUUAAUGAUCAACACUUCCGAGAUUUAUGGGAGCUUCAGAAGGGCAGCAGCAGCACACCUUGGGGCUCUGGAGUUCGUAUUGCCAAUACGUCUGAUGUGGACUCCCAUAUCUGUUAUGAUCCAGAAGGUGUUGUUCUGAGUUAUCAGUCUGUUGAGGCUGAUAGCAUAAAGAAGUUAGUAGCAGAUAUUCGAAGGCUUUCUAAUGCUAGAAUGUUUGCCCUUGGAAUGCGUAAGCUCCUUGGAGUAAGACUGGACGAGAAAUCAGAUGAAAAUAGUGCAAACUCUGAUGCUAAAGUGCCAUCUGGAGGUAAAAGUGGCGUUGAGGCAGCUGAUAAGUUAUCAGAACAGAUGAGGCGGGCAUUUAAAAUAGAGGCAGUUGGACUAAUGAGUUUGUGGUUCAGUUUUGGGUCUGGAGUGCUGGCUCGCUUUGUUGUUGAGUGGGAAUCUGGUAAAGAGGGAUGCACAAUGCACGUUUCUCCUGACCAAAUAUGGCCGCAUACUAAGUUUCUGGAAGAUUUUAUAAAUGGUGCUGAAGUUGCAUCCCUUUUGGAUUGCAUUCGCCUCACUGCAGGACCAUUGCAUGCUCUGGCAGCUGCUACGCGUCCUGCGCGAGCUGGUCCUGCUCCGGGUGUCCCUGGGAUAACUUCAGCUAUUGCUUCUAUGUCAAAACCGUCAGGGUAUGUGCAAUCCCAGGGAGUUUUGCCUAGCAGUUCUGUUAACAAUAUUACCCAGCCAACUUCUGGCUCUGUAGGGAAUACCGUUGCAUCUACUGGUACUGUUCCUCUUGGGAAUAUUAGUCUUCAUGGUACUGCAAUGUUAGCUGCUGCUGGUCGAGGGGGGCCUGGCAUUGUUCCUAGCUCAUUGUUGCCAAUUGAUGUUUCUGUUGUGCUACGUGGUCCAUACUGGAUCCGAAUUAUUUAUCGCAAGCAUUUUGCAGUUGACAUGAGAUGCUUUGCCGGAGAUCAGGUUUGGUUACAACCAGCAACACCACCUAAGGAAGGCCCAAAAUUUGGAGGUUCACUGCCUUGUCCACAAUUUCGCCCUUUCAUAAUGGACCAUGUUGCCCAAGAAUUGAAUGGAUUAGAUCCGGGCUUUGCUGGUAGUCAACAGACAGUUGGACCAGUUAAUUCUAACCCCUCAAAUCCUGGUUCAGUUUCUCAAUUAUCAGGUGCUAAUGGAGUUAACUUGCCUAGUUCUGCGGCACUUUCUAGGGCAGCUACCCAAGUUGCUGCUCUAAAUCGUAUUGGAAAUGCUGUUCCAGGAUCUUCAAAUUUGGCUGUUGUGAGCUCAGGAUUGCCUAUACGUAGAUCC